RNAcentral lists this long non-coding RNA (1803 nucleotides) under Malus domestica (apple). RNAcentral's name for it is "long non-coding RNA (MDOM_LNC003750)". The record is from RNAcentral. Lineage: Eukaryota; Viridiplantae; Streptophyta; Magnoliopsida; Rosales; Rosaceae.
UAGCAUUCAAUUUAUGCAUGAUAAUUAAGCGUGCACUCUCAACCAACACACACAAAUCAAUGUAAUUCACAUAGAUAAGUAAAUUGAAUUCACAACUUAUGAAACGCAAUUAGAAGUAAUCAAAUCAUAUCGCAAGCAUAAACAUGUAUUUCGAAUCCCCCCCUAGCCAAGGGGGAGUUUAGUUCCUCAUACACACAAAACAAAGAGAAUUGAAUUUAAACAUUGAAAUCAAAGGAAAAGAAACACCUAGAAAUUCCAGCGACGCGAAAUUGAAUUGCAUGAACUUCCAAUCUUCCUUCUCCUCCUCCUUGGUGCGGCAAAGGGUCUAGGGACAGGUUUAGGGCCUUAGGUGUAUGGAUGAAUGGUUAUGGAAGGAUGUAGUAGUGUUUGUAGGGAUUAGGGAUAGGGCUUCUAGAAAGCCCCAAAACUGAUAGGAAAUGUAGGAAACUCACGGCAAGGAGGGGAACAGUCUAGAAACUUCUCAUUUGUGUCCUACAACAAUUAGGAGUCCUUCUAGCAUUAGGAAAACAUGUCUCAAUCCUCCCUUGACUUGGAAUUCUUCUCCCUCUUCAUCUUGGAAACCUUUCCUUCUUGGACUUGGAAAACUUCUUUGUUGCUGAAACUUGAUGCCAUUUGGAUUUAACUUUCCUACUUCGACUAGGAAACCGUGUUCAAGUAGGAAACAUCAUCUUCAAAUCUUCAAUUUCAUCCAUCCUCUUAGCUCCAAGCAUAUGAUGUCCAUUCCAAGCUCUAAUUUGCUCCAAAAGGCUCCAAAAUGCUUCCCUUUGCAUACUUUGCCCUUAAAACUUGAAAACGCAUAAAACUAGCUUAAAAUACUACUUUACUAAGGAAAAACACUAUAAAUGCACAAGAACAAGCUAAACUAAGGUGCAUAAAUAUGCUUCUAUCAAUAAUUUUCAUCCAUUUUUUUCCCCCAAAUCUAAGCAUAUAAAAAAAAAAAAUCGAAGGGAGAUGUGGAUAAAAAUUACCCAUGAAUGUGUCGGAAUCAGAGAGGGAUGUGAUCUGCGGUGUCAUCUUUGUAACUGUUGAUAUUACUGUUUGAGGGUGCUCGAUUUAUGAGGUUCGAAGGCAGCUAGAUGAUGAAUGAGGAUAUCGUAGAAGAGUGGAAGAUGCGCUUGGAUGGUCCUGGUUCAGAGAUUAAGUUUGGGGGUAUAGUGCGGCUCUGGGGUAUGCGUUUGGUUUUUGAGAUAGACAUGAUGAGAGGCUGCGAGGAUUGAGAAAAAUGAGAGAGAAGGAGAGCUAAUUUUUCAUUUUAAAGAGAUAUGGGGUCUGAGUGAAACAGAGAGGGAUGGCUAAAUUUCUAAAGAGAUAGAAAGCUCUUGCGUUUCUGAGAGCAAUGAAGAAACGAGAGAGGGCUGAAAAAUACAAAAAAAAAUGGAAGGUUUGUACGAAGAGGGGUGCCAAACUGAGAAGGAUUAAAAGUAUUUUCAGAAUUUCUAGAGAGAGCUAGAUGGGCACAUGGGUUGAUCUUAACCCUUGAUUUGGAAUCCUAUGGAGCUAUCCUUCCUAAUGCAUGACACGUGGGUGCAUCCUCAGCUUUUAUGCUCCCUAGGACACGGUUUGAAGAGAGGAGAGAGAGCCGUUUGGGCUCUGUGUUUGAUGACUGACGGAGAUAGAAGACUGAUGCCUGACGCCAUUUUCAAUUUGCAUGCCAGCUGCAUGCCUUUCAAAGCAAAGGAAUCCAUAGUUUAGCAUGCCAGCUGCAUGCUUUUCAAACAAAGGAAUCCAAUGUUCCUAUUGGACUUUUGUUUGCGAGUUGACCUUCCAAAUCAAAAGCCAGGU